Molecule: long non-coding RNA, 4269 nt
Organism: Zeugodacus cucurbitae (melon fly)
Lineage: Eukaryota; Metazoa; Arthropoda; Insecta; Diptera; Tephritidae
Exons: 2
Source: RefSeq, a predicted model, not a curated record
GUUAUUAAUUCAGUUAAAAAUGUUAAACAGUUGUUAAUUAAUUAAAAUUAAAGGUAUAUAAAAAAUAUUAAAAAAUUCACAUAAAUUUAUUAAAAUAAAAAUAAAUUAAUAGCUAAAAAAGUAAAAAUUAACAUAAAUAACAAAUAAAAAAAUACUUAAAAAUUAAAAAAUAAAAAAUAAAUUAAUAAUUAAAAGAAAUUAAAAACUAAAAAUUAAAAAUAAAAAAACAUAAAAAUUAACUAAAAAUAUUUGAAAAUAAUUAUAAAUAAAAAAAUAUGAAUUUUUGUAAGUUGAAAAUUACUAAUUCAGUCAAAAAUGUGAAACAGUUGUUAAUUAAUUAAAAUUAAAUGUAUAUAAAAAAGUUAAAAAUAUUAAAAAAAAUUAAUUAAAUUUAAUAGUCAUAAAUUCACAUAAAUUUAUAAAAAGUAAAAUAAUAAAAAUAAAUUAAUAGCUAAAAAAGUAAAAAUUAAAAUAAAUAACAAUUAAAAAAUACUUAAAAAUUAAAAAAUAAAAAUAAAAAUUAAUAAUUAAAGAAAUUAAAAACUAAAAAUUAAAAAUAAAAAAAAAAUAAAAAUUAACUAAAAAUAUUUGAAAAUAAUUAUAUAUAAAAAAUUUGAAUUUUUAUAAGUUAAAAAUUAUUAAUUCAUAUCGCAUUGCUUAAUUGCAUACAAAUACGUGAUUAACUAGUUAUGAGAUUCAAAAUCAAUAUUAUCCAAAUCGAAUACUAAUUAACUGCUAUACAAGCCACAAAGUAUGAGCAAUUUAUGUAAUAAAACACACACUACAAUAUAUUCACACAUAAGUAUACACUCAUACACACUCAUAGAUAACUCGUUAGCUGCCGUCAUUCGUGAACAAUUUUGUUUUUAAUUACAAAACAAUGCAUUUCACAGCAGUCGCCCCGAGUAGUGAGCUCAUCUUCUCCGCAUUUUUUCCGCACAAUAAAUAAUAAUUUCUAAUUGCAAAAAUGCACACAGCUUUCAGUUCAGUUCAGCUACCCGCAAAGGCAUUUAUGCCGCCGCGCUCACACUGCUUUCAAAUCAUUUAACUCAAUCAUGUGCUUUCCGCCUUGUCACGGCUGUGUGUCAAGUGCUUAGUAAUAAUUACCCCAAUCGGCGAGCAACAAAAACAACAACAACUACUUAAGCAACUGUGUAAACAAGCCGAAACCCCCCUUGCAACCGUGCAGCAAAUUGAUGAUCAAACACGCACACACUUGACCACAAAGUGGGAGGGUGGCAUCACUGGCAGUCACAUGUGUGUGUGCUUGUUUUGGUGUUUAUUUGGGUGUGUGUGUGUGACACCAGUGAAGGGUGUUUUCCCAUUUCACCGCGCAUAUAUGCCAAUGUUAUGUGCCCGUUAUGGCUGCAACUGGCUUAAGUGUUCAUAUAUGAGAUGUGAUAGGCAGAGAUAUGUGUGUGCAGUCAUGCAUGGAGGUAUGUGUGUCAGUAUAGAGGCUCAAAUAGGCUAAUAUGCCGUUUGGCAACAAACCAAAUCGUCUCUGUGCCUUACUGCUGUUCACCAGCUACCAAUAUUUUGCUCAUCAACAUUUGGCUGCUGCAUUGUUGAGCUUCUUUCUUCAAACACUCGAGUUAUUGUUCUGUGUAUUGAUCUGAUUCUGUGCAUUGAUAGUGAUUUUGGCAAAAUUGCAUGGUGUAAUAACACUAAAUAACAGUCAUAUAACGGCUUAAGUGUCAUUGAGUGGAAAAGUGGCUCCUUUGGUAUCCCACCAACUUUUUCUUGUUCCAACUUCAUCGAGCUUUGCACGAAAUUUUAAAAUCUUUUUUAUUUUCUUCAAACUCUGAAACACUGAAAAUGUUUUUGCUCCUUUUCUGGUGUCACUUAUGUAUAUAAUAUCCCUCGCAUAUUUUUAAUUAAAUUUCCGUUUUAUCAAAUUUCUACCACAAAACGCUGUAGGUUGGUGAAGAAAAUCAAUUUCCUAUAAUUCAUGCCGCAACAAAGCGCUCUUUUGGUUAUCAUUAUAUAGUCUUUCUUCUGCCGCCUCUCCCCCACACAUUUUCGAACUAUUAUGCCAGCUUUGGGCAAUAAAUAUGGCAUUAAAGCCGCUUGAAUGGCGCCAUGACAAGCCACAUUGCUGUUCGCCGCUGGCGAAAAGUAUUUUUGUGCGCCGGAGUUCUUUAUGAAUUCGCCUUCAUCCACACCCACAAUCUCUGCGCUGCUUAAGCAAUUUAAGCUGCAACGAAUAAGGAAAUGUGUAUGAAAGAUAAUUGAUUGGAAAAAUGGCCUCGAAACGGGCGUCGCCCCAUGAGUUUCAUUAAAGCUUUAUUUUCGCCAGUUGCAUAAUGUUGCUGAUUUCGUAACGUAAUUUAAAUUAUGGUAAAAUUAAACGCAAAAAAUGCUGAUAUUUUCGAUUUUCAUUAAAAUUACUUGAAAAGAAUUAAUAAUGAAAAUAGAAAUUUCCUAAUUUAUUUUAAAUUUUACCAAACAGCAUACAUUAAAUUCACACAAACUAUACUCAAUCGCUUUAUAAAUACUUUUCUAAAUAUAAAAGUGACUGAACUUAUGUUAUUUAGACACACUUUCCCUCAAACCGCCCCUGAACUAAGUCAUUUAGUAAAUUUACAGCACCUAUAAGUAAUGGUCUCAAUUAAGGUACUUUCAAUUGAGUCAAUUAGUAACUUUUUCAACAUUUAUACUUAAUUGACUCAGUUGAGAUGCUGCCGCAUUGAGUUUAUUAGUAAAUUUUCAACACUUAUAACUGAUUGACUCAUGUAAUAGCCUAUUUAGACAGCCAAAUUAAUUGAACAAUUAAAACUUUGAUUGAGAAACCCUUUUUGCCUUUAACACUGCCGGCUACUCGUUAACCGAUCAGCUGUUAUACAUUUUUGUUUUUCCUUUUCAUAAAAAGUUGGUAAGAUUCAUCAGCUAAUUGAUAUUUUUAGCGACAUCUACCGUAGCUUUUUUAUAAAAAAAAUAAACCAAUCGCUGACAAAGAACGUAUAUCGUACGUCUUUGUCGCAGAGUUGCAUAUAAUUUUCAAAACGAUUAAAAUUCAAUUAAUAAUUAAUGUAGAUUUGUAUUUUGUAUGGUAAAUCGAUCUUAUUAAGCGUUUUAAUCGAGCAGAAGCCGAUUAAUUGAUCAAUUGGCUCCUGUGUAAGAAGGCUAUAAUGCAAAUUUUCAACACUUAUACUUAAUUGAGUCAAUUAAGAGGCUCUCAAUUGAGUCAAUUAGUGAAUACUUAACACUUAUGAAUGUGAAUGUUUAACACUUAUACAAAAUUGGCGCAGUUAAGGGACUAUCAAUUAGUAAAUAUUCAGCACUUUUACUUAAUUGACUCAAUUAAGCGGUAUUUCGGACACUUAAUUGAAUGAUUUUUUUUUUGUAUUAAAAUAAUUUUCGAAACCAUAAAUUUCACUAAAGAAUACCGCUGAAAUUCCAGCGGCGCACCACAUAAUUUCAUGCAAAUAUUUGCGUGUUUGAUUAAAAGCCCAAGUCAAUAUUUGCGCUGAAACAAUUGUCUGUUUGCAUAUUUAUGUUAAUGUAUUAACAAAUUGUUGUUGUAUGUUGUAUAUGUAUGUAUGUACAUAUGUAUUUAUGUAAAUUUUUUGCUGUUGAGCCGCAAACUUUUUUCAUUGUUUGUUAUUUGCCUUGCCAAAUUUGUACGUAUGUACAUCUCUCUCUAACUCUCUUCGGUUGUGGUGUCCUAUUUUGUAUUUAUAUUUAUAUCUAUCUCUCUGUAUUACAUAACCUUCAUUGUUACAUUCUUGUGCAAUAAAUAUUUAAUCUUGUUGGUUUUUGUGGCAUUUUAUUUGUGUGGCGUCACUUUGUCUUGUGAAUCCUGGCAGUUCUUGCGAAUAUCUUUAAGAGGACACAAGAAAUAAACUGUUGCCAUUUGUAGCUGGUGAUUUUUUCUCAGUUACAUACAUACAUGUAUGCUAUAUUUCCAUCUUUAUUUCGAUUAAAUUACGCUGAAGUAAUUUGUGGCCUUGUAAGCAGUUGGGGAAGCACAGAAGUUACUCAAGUAUAAAUUACUUGGCUGCCAUGUAUAUUGCUUUGUGGUAACAUUUGACCUAAAUUUUGUAUCUUUAAUUCUAUCACUGAGUUCUCUAUACAGCUUUAAUUGGUUUUAAAUUAUACUGGAAGCUGAAUCUCAAGAAAAGUGGAGAUUUCUUGUGUCUAUAAACAUACUUCUGCUUAGCUAUACUAAUUACUGUUAUCUAUAAAUAUUAGACCAUUAAGUUCGACUACUAAUAAAGCCGUAGCACUCCCGAGUACUUUCGCAAAAAUAUCAAGGUCCUUUAUAUAUUU